UACGUAGGGUGCGAGCGUUGCCCGGAUUUAUUGGGCGUAAAGGGCGCGCAGGCGGCCACGCACGUCCGUUGUGAAAUCGCCCGGCUCAACUGGGCGGGGUCGGCGGAUACGGCGUGGCUGGAGCAAGCUAGGGGGUAGUGGAAUUCCCGGUGUAGUGGUGGAAUGCGUAGAUAUCGGGAGGAACACCAGUGGCGAAGGCGGCUACCUGGGGCUUUGCUGACGCUGAGGCGCGAAAGCGUGGGGAGCGAUCCGG
RNAcentral lists this ribosomal RNA (253 nucleotides) under uncultured bacterium. RNAcentral's name for it is "partial 16S ribosomal RNA". It matches the Rfam family "Bacterial small subunit ribosomal RNA", at positions 524 to 776 of the family's 1533-position model. The record is from RNAcentral.